GACGAACGCUGGCGGCGUGCUUAACACAUGCAAGUCGAACGAAGAGCGAUGGAAGCUUGCUUCUAUCAAUCUUAGUGGCGAACGGGUGAGUAACGCGUAAUCAACCUGCCCUUCAGAGGGGGACAACAGUUGGAAACGACUGCUAAUACCGCAUACGAUCUAACCUCGGCAUCGAGGAUAGAUGAAAGGUGGCCUCUACAUGUAAGCUAUCACUGAAGGAGGGGAUUGCGUCUGAUUAGCUAGUUGGAGGGGUAACGGCCCACCAAGGCGAUGAUCAGUAGCCGGUCUGAGAGGAUGAACGGCCACAUUGGGACUGAGACACGGCCCAGACUCCUACGGGAGGCAGCAGUGGGGAAUCUUCCGCAAUGGACGAAAGUCUGACGGAGCAACGCCGCGUGAGUGAUGACGGCCUUCGGGUUGUAAAGCUCUGUUAAUCGGGACGAAAGGCCUUCUUGCGAAUAGUGAGAAGGAUUGACGGUACCGGAAGAGAAAGCCACGGCUAACUACGUG
This 510-nucleotide ribosomal RNA is filed under the name uncultured bacterium. RNAcentral describes it as "partial 16S ribosomal RNA". It matches the Rfam family "Bacterial small subunit ribosomal RNA", at positions 28 to 507 of the family's 1533-position model. The record is from RNAcentral.